Molecule: ribosomal RNA, 376 nt
Filed under: uncultured bacterium
Lineage: Bacteria
Description: bacterial SSU rRNA
Rfam family: Bacterial small subunit ribosomal RNA
Source: RNAcentral
UACGAGGUGUGCGAGCGUUGUUCGGGAUCACUGGGCAUAAAGGGUGCGUAGGCGGUGCGCCAAGUCGGGUGUGAAAUCCCUUCGCUUAACGGAGGAAUUGCAUUCGAUACUAGCGUGCUAGAGGGUAAAAGGGGCAAGCGGAAUUCUAGGUGUAGCGGUGGAAUGCGUAGAUAUCUGGGAGAACGCCGAGGGCGAAGGCAGCUUGCUGGGUUACUUCUGACGCUGAGGCACGAAAGCUAGGGGAGCAAACAGGAUUAGAUACCCUGGUAGUCCUAGCCGUAAACGAUGAGCACUUUGUUCCGGGAGGCCUGAUCCUCUCGGAGCCGUAGCUAAUGUGUUAAGUGCUCCGCCUGGGGAGUAUGGUCGCAAGGCUAAA